RNAcentral lists this transfer RNA (73 nucleotides) under Ornithorhynchus anatinus (platypus). It matches the Rfam family "tRNA". Rfam says of the family: Transfer RNA (tRNA) molecules are approximately 80 nucleotides in length. Their secondary structure includes four short double-helical elements and three loops (D, anti-codon, and T loops). Lineage: Eukaryota; Metazoa; Chordata; Mammalia; Monotremata; Ornithorhynchidae. The record is from Rfam by way of RNAcentral.
AGCAGUGUGGCAUAGUAAGUAGGGCAUAGGUUUGGGAGUCAUAAGGUCAUGGGUUCUAAUCCCAGCUCUGCCA